UGAGGUUGUGGCUCAACGGUAGAGCACUUGCCUAGCGUGUGCGAGGCCCUGGGUUCAAUCCUCAGCACCACAA
RNAcentral lists this transfer RNA (73 nucleotides) under Marmota monax (woodchuck). RNAcentral describes it as "tRNA.Ala". The record is from RNAcentral. Lineage: Eukaryota; Metazoa; Chordata; Mammalia; Rodentia; Sciuridae.